Molecule: ribosomal RNA, 663 nt
Filed under: uncultured bacterium
Lineage: Bacteria
Description: bacterial SSU rRNA
Rfam family: Bacterial small subunit ribosomal RNA
Source: RNAcentral
CAUGCAAGUCGAGCGGAUCAAUGGGGAGCUUGCUCCCCUGAGAUCAGCGGCGGACGGGUGAGUAACACGUGGGCAACCUACCUGUAAGAUUGGGAUAACUCCGGGAAACCGGGGCUAAUACCGGAUAACCUUUUCCAUUGCAUAGUGGAAAAUUAAAAGAUGGCUUCGGCUAUCACUUACAGAUGGGCCCGCGGCGCAUUAGCUAGUUGGUGAGGUAAGGGCUCACCAAGGCGACGAUGCGUAGCCGACCUGAGAGGGUGAUCGGCCACACUGGGACUGAGACACGGCCCAGACUCCUACGGGAGGCAGCAGUAGGGAAUCUUCGGCAAUGGGCGAAAGCCUGACCGAGCAACGCCGCGUGAGCGAUGAAGGCCUUCGGGUCGUAAAGCUCUGUUGUUAGGGAAGAACAAGUACCGUUCGAAUAGGGCGGUACCUUGACGGUACCUGACCAGAAAGCCACGGCUAACUACGUGCCAGCAGCCGCGGUAAUACGUAGGUGGCAAGCGUUGUCCGGAAUUAUUGGGCGUAAAGCGCGCGCAGGCGGUCUCUUAAGUCUGAUGUGAAAGCCCACGGCUCAACCGUGGAGGGUCAUUGGAAACUGGGGGACUUGAGUACUGGAGAGGAGAGUGGAAUUCCAUGUGUAGCGGUGAAAUGCGUAGAUAU